AGAGCGUGUAGGCGGCCAGGUAGGUCUGCUGUGAAAACUCGAGGCUCAACCUCGAGACGUCGGCGGAAACCAUCUGGCUAGAGUCCGGAAGAGGAGAGUGGAAUUCCUGGUGUAGCGGUGAAAUGCGCAGAUAUCAGGAAGAACACCCGUGGCGAAGGCGGCUCUCUGGGACGGUACUGACGCUGAGACGCGAAAGCGUGGGGAGCGAACAGGAUUAGAUACCCUGGUAGUCCACGCCGUAAACGAUGGGUGCUAGGUGUGGGCGGUGUCGACUCCGUCCGUGCCGAAGCUAACGCAUUAAGCACCCCGCCUGGGGAGUACGGCCGCAAGGCUAAAACUCAAAGGAAUUGA
This 351-nucleotide ribosomal RNA is filed under the name uncultured bacterium. Its description in RNAcentral is "bacterial SSU rRNA". It matches the Rfam family "Bacterial small subunit ribosomal RNA", at positions 564 to 913 of the family's 1533-position model. The record is from RNAcentral.